UAUAUCUGAAAUCCAUAACGUCGACGUGGAUUCAUGUCACUCUCUCUGGUGGGGUCCUACCAAAAUCCCGCUAUAGGAUAAAGAGAGAGAAUCUAUUCUCUUUUCUAUAGAGAAUAGCGGCGGAGCGCCGUGAUAGAUAGGGGCAUGACUUGCUUGCUUGGCUAUUUUUUGUUCCUAACCGCUUGCUUUAUUUGAACGGGAAAGAGCUUUGCUUGCUCCGUGUUUUUGGUUCUCCGGAGCAGGGCUCUUCUGCGGUUUUUGACUUUUGUUUUGGGGAUAGUACCUAACUCACAGGCUCUGGGUUCCUUGCGGCGCUGCCUCAUGCUUGCGCUUGCUUGAAUGCCAGUACGUUAGGUUACUAGAAUAGGCGGUUGGCUGCUGCGCUACAGAUUUCACCGGAAGGUUCUUUUCCUUUGCUUGCAGAAGUGACCCUGCUUGCUAUUCUAUCACUCCUCGCUCGGCCUUUACUUGAUAGGGCUCCUUCACCAGGAUCAAUAGCCCAGCUACACUACCACUACCCGUGAGAUAGAAGUAGGGCACUUCACUCACCUUAGAGUGAGUGAGGUGAUUACAGAAAAGUAGUGUAGUCCGCACUUGAGAAUUCUUUAAAGAAUUAGCUGCUAUUUCGGUGGUUGAAGUGCCGGUCGGCAUUGCCUAAGUAACGUCCGGCUCUGUUUGCGCGCUUCUCUCCAUCCGUUGAGUCGGUGGAAGGCUACUUGACCUAGCCUUCAGAGAAGAAUCAAGUCAGAGAAGCCGGUGCAGCAAGCCGAUCCGACAUACGUUCAAACGCAUGCACCUUUCGACUACUUCUCUCUCGGGGCGCGCCAUCCAAACUCGCUGUGAUGGAUGAACGCGGAUAGAACAAAUCUAUCUCGGCGUAGUGAGUAAUAAAAAUUCCUGACGUAUUUCUUUCUUGAUUUCUUUUUUCUUUCUUUAUGGAAAAUAUCAAACCCAUUUCUGAGACCCAUAAUAUGAAUUUAUGAAAGAUAGAUAGAAAGAAAAAAAGCUGCCUUGCGGGAGAGAGAGACCUGACGCAUAGCCGGCGCACAAGAUCCAAUCUUUUUUGCAGUUCUUAGAGAAGUGAAUUCCAAAACACCACAAUUAAGCAAGCCCUUCGAGCUUGCCUCACUUCCAUGCAUGCGAUAGCUUGUCCCAACCAAAACUUGCCGCUUCUAUCAAUCAAUGCACACAAAUAUGCUUGCUUGGACAGACACAAACAUAUGCUUGCCCCUACGUAACUAGAGCCCUGUAGGUCCUCCUAUAUAGGGCUAGGUUUCAACACCAUUCACUGGUAAGGCCCCACAUGUAGCAUUCCCGACGGCGGCUAUCCCGAGCUAGCCAUCCAUAGUUGUAAGCCUCCCUUACCCCACCACCCUCACUGAAAUUCAAUUCAAUGAAAGGCAGACCCCAUAGAAGUAAGCCUGAGCCAGCUCAAUGAAGACUUCUCAAAUACCCUCUAGCCAGACCGCAUAAAGAUACAGAACAAAAAAUUCGUGCUCAACCAACCCGUCUCAAUCCAUGUCAAUCAUCAACCAAGGCCCGCACCAGCUCUCAUUACCAUCCCUCUUCAACCUACCCCAACACCUAUUCCCAUUACCACGCCUCCACAGAACCCUCAGAACCACGCACCAGCCACCAUCACUAUCCCUAAACCUUCACCUAUCGUUAUCUCAACCCCACCCUUUUC
Molecule: long non-coding RNA, 1687 nt
Filed under: Panax ginseng (ginseng)
Lineage: Eukaryota; Viridiplantae; Streptophyta; Magnoliopsida; Apiales; Araliaceae
Description: long non-coding RNA (PGIN_LNC001705)
Source: RNAcentral